Molecule: non-coding RNA, 1246 nt
Organism: Pelodiscus sinensis (Chinese soft-shelled turtle)
Lineage: Eukaryota; Metazoa; Chordata; Testudines; Trionychidae
Source: RefSeq, a predicted model, not a curated record
GCGAGGCUGGGCAGGAUGAGGAGGAGUGCGCUCCGGACCGGCCUGGGGCUUCCCGCGCUCCCAGCACGGCCCGGGCAGAUAAUUCAACUAACCACAAAUCUAGGAAAACUGUGUUGUCUGGGACUCAAGGCCCCUUGUGGGUGACAGCUGUUUUUGUGCUCCUGAGUGUACUGGUAGCUGCAGGCUGCACUGUUACCAGGAGGCAAUUCAGAGCAAAGAACAGCUUCUUCACCUUUAGCUUUGAGAGAGCUUCCAAAGAGCAUCUGGUGCUAGACAGGAGACCUUCUGCGUCAUUUCCCUAAUAGGAAGCUGCAUUGUUGUGAGAUGAGACACAGCUUGGUCCUCCUCAUCACACACCCUCCAAGUGCCGAUCAAGCAGUUUCUGGGACUAGUUUUCUGGGUUUGAUUGGGUGACAAUCACAAUGGAGUAAUCAAGGACUCUUCCUUGGGCACAGGGAGCUUAGAUUGUGGCAGUGGGGAGUCAGAAGUGAUGGUCUCUGGUGCUCUAAAAUCAAUUCUACGGGAAUGUGAUGGAAACUUGAAAUGUCACAUUGGUUCACCCAUUCCCAUCCUCCCUCCCUCGGGGUUAUUCUACAAGAUGCCUCGUCCUGAAAGAAAGGUUCUAAAGCUAUUCCAGUGAAUAGUGCACAUCUCUGCAGAUGAAUAGUGUAUCAUCUCUGCAGUACAUCCGGGCAGCUCUCCCUUUCCCACAUCUACCUAAGAGUUCAUCGCAAACUACCUCUUCCUACCAGGCUGUAUCUUACCUGUUAACAUAAUUAUUUACUACUGUUCCAAGGCAGGCCAUUCCAUUCUACACACCUGGGGGGGUAUAAUAUAACUUCAGUCCCUGAUGAUACUGCUCCUCCUCCUAACUCAUUGGCUCGGACUUACCAAAAAUUCUUAAAAUGUAAUUGAUGCACAAGACCCAUCAAGGAGCUGGAAAAUUGAAGUCUCCUGUAUGGUUGUCUUUGCAUUGGGUCACAGGCUGUAUAGCAUAGGGCAGGCAGGAGAGGAGUGCCUUCAAAUCCCAAGGUAGGAGGUAUGCUCAGCUCUUUCCAGGAUUGGGCUCAGAGUUUCCAAUUUGAUACUAAAAUUCUGGAUGUUGAAUCCUCGGUGCAGUUAUUUUAACACCUGGAGCUGGCUUACCUCUUUUGCUUUUAGCUGCGAGUAGCUUUGGUCUCAAAGGUCAGCUGUUAGCUCCAUUUCAGAUCUUGGUCUGUAUAACAUUUUGUCAUGAACGCUUAUU